This is a small nucleolar RNA of Erinaceus europaeus (western European hedgehog), 99 nucleotides long. Its record names the gene SNORD16. It matches the Rfam family "Small nucleolar RNA SNORD16". From Rfam's summary of the family: U16 is a member of the C/D class of snoRNA which contain the C (UGAUGA) and D (CUGA) box motifs. U81 acts as a guanine methylation guide and is found in an intron of ribosomal proteins L1 gene in animals. NCBI's taxonomy places the organism in Eukaryota, Metazoa, Chordata, Mammalia, Eulipotyphla, Erinaceidae. The record is from Ensembl.
UGCCAUGAUGUCAUAAUUUGCUCCUUACUCUGCUCUCGGCGACAGUUGCCUGCUGUCAGUGAGCUGGUGCAAAAGGGUGACUAAUGUUCUCACUGAGCA